AUUGAACGCUGGCGGCAUGCCUUACACAUGCAAGUCGAACGGCAGCACGGGUGCUUGCCCCUGGUGGCGAGUGGCGAACGGGUGAGUAAUACAUCGGAACAUGUCCUGUAGUGGGGGAUAGCCCGGCGAAAGCCGGAUUAAUACCGCAUACGAUCUACGGAUGAAAGCGGGGGACCUUCGGGCCUCGCGCUAUUGGGUUGGCAGAUGGCUGAUUAGCUAGUUGGUGGGGUAAAGGCCUACCAAGGCGACGAGCAGUAGCUGGUCUGAGAGGACGACCAGCCACACUGGGACUGAGACACGGCCCAGACUCCUACGGGAGGCAGCAGUGGGGAAUUUUGGACAAUGGGCGAAAGCCUGAUCCAGCAAUGCCGCGUGUGUGAAGAAGGCCUUCGGGUUGUAAAGCACUUUUGUCCGGAAAGAAAUCCUUGGCCCUAAUACGGUCGGGGGAUGACGGUACCGGAAGAAUAAGCACCGGCUAACUACGUG
Molecule: ribosomal RNA, 486 nt
Filed under: uncultured bacterium
Lineage: Bacteria
Description: partial 16S ribosomal RNA
Rfam family: Bacterial small subunit ribosomal RNA
Source: RNAcentral